ACUUCUUAGACAUUUAUAAAGGAAGUUUAGUGAAAAGUUUCAUUAGGGUUUUUUUAGUGUUCUUUUUCACAAAAGAAGAAAACAAGUCUCUCUCUCUCAACACUUAAAGGCCGGCCACCAUAAGGGAGAAGUAGCUAAUCAUCUUCUCUCCCUUUUUGGUUAUUUCAUUAUCCAUCUCACUACAGUAGUGGGUGUGGAUCUUUUAGAGGUCUUCUACUUUGGAAACUAAAGGAGAAAGGAGUUCCAAAUCUUUCAAGGUGGAGGAAGCUAGGAAGGAGGCUAGACUCAAGGAGUUCCAAGAACAAAGAGUUUGGAGGUGGUCCAUCCUUGGUCUUAAGUCUAGAUCAAGAGGUAUAAAACUAUACCUUCACUUUGUUCUUCAAUAUUUUUCUUAGAUGCAUCAUAUAUGAACCUAUGCUUCUUGAAGGGGAUUUGCAUGACUAUAGCUUUGAUAUUAUGUGAUAACAUGCUUCCGUUGCUAAUGUAUAUAAAUUUUGAAUUGUAUAUGCAUGCUAGUCACUAGAAAUCCCACAUAAAUCUCAUUAUUUCCCUUCACUAGGAACAAAAACACAUGAAAAUAAACAAAAAGAAAUAACAAGGGAUUAGCAAUUGCUAAUCCCUGGCAACGGCGCCAAAAACUUGGUGCGAAAAUUAUCUUAACACACAAAUUUAAUCCUCUUUUGACAAUUGUAGUACAAGUAUAAGUAGGGAUCGUUCUGGACCGGGGAUUAGGAGGGCUUGCUAAUAACCUCUAAACUGACUCAAAAACAUAAAACUAAACUUUAAAAACACUUAACAAGACUCACAAGACUCAAAGCAAACUUAAAAUACUCAAAACAGCUUAAAACAACCAAAUAAACUUAAACUAGACACUAGGAAUGACUUUGGACGAAAAUUGACUUUUACUUGAAUCAAAACACUUAAAAACACAAACGAAAACAGAUUUGAAACACUUUGAAACAAGAAACUAAAAGGGGGGUUUUGAUUUGGAUGAAGUUGUAACAAACAAACAAGUAUGAAAAACUAGACAGAUUGUAAAACAAAUUUGAGAUAUAAGAUGAUGGAUGGGAUAGCUAGAGGCUUUUUCUCCACACAUGACAUGUAUGUAAAUAACUCGAUUUCUAGUUACUACUUCAUUGAAUUAUAAACGACAAUGCUCCAAAUUAACCGUGGCAUCACUUGUUAACUCUCAGAUUUUCCUUGUUUAAUUGGAUUGGAUGACAUCAUUCGACAACCCAAAACAUUCUUCAAAAGUUCCCUACAUGACAUCAUAAUAGAGAUACAAUCAAAGAUCAUUACGUUUAAUGAAAAUCAUAAGUAUUGACAAAGCACUUGCAACUAUGACAUCAUGUCACUCAUGCUAGGAAUUGAACUUAACGCGAUCGUUUAUAAGCGACCUUUACUACAUGUGAAUAUAAGUUUGUAAUGAUUAUGUGAAACUUCCUUAUAUUCUAGCAACGGAUUUAUGCAUGCCAAUUAAGUUGACCCUUAAUUAACAAAUACAAGUAAGUUAUCAAUCAAAUAGUUAAGCCAAUUGCAUUCACGAUUCAAGAGUUCAUAACUGGAAUUUAUCAAAUCAUAUUACACACAUAAUCAUGGCUUUGAAAUCACCCCUAGCUAAGAGGGGUUUAGCCACUCAUAUUCAUAACAAAACGAAAGAAAAUGAAUUUAAACUUUGGAAACAAAAGAAAGAAAACACCUAAACGCUCCAACGAUCCAAGUUGGAUAGCAAGCACGUCCAAGCACUUUCCUUCCCUUCCUUUGCUACGGCACAAGGUGUUGGUGAGUGUUUGAAGGUUUGUUUGUAUGGAGGAAUGGAUGUGUUUAGAUGAAGGUUGUAUUGAAAUGGGGAUGAAUGAUCAAGCAAAGUAUGAACUAAAUUUAUGUUACACACACUUCCUUUUAUAGAGGAAGUGCAUGGCAAUGGAGGGGAACAUGGAGUGGUGUAGCAAUCGAGUGCAAUGAUGCAUGAAAUCUAAAAUGAUGGAGGAAACAAGGAAUUGUGUAGCAAUUGAGUGCAAUGAUUCAAUGUAAUGAUGCAUGAAGUCUGAAAUGAUAGACGGAACAAGGAAUGGUGUAGCAAUUGAGUGCAAUAAUUCAAUGUAAUGAUGCAUGAAUUGAAGGAUUAUUUUGUGAAAACAUGUUCAUUUAAGCAACAUCAAUAAGCAUGCAAUUAACAAUUAAAGGCGGA
Molecule: long non-coding RNA, 2191 nt
Filed under: Malus domestica (apple)
Lineage: Eukaryota; Viridiplantae; Streptophyta; Magnoliopsida; Rosales; Rosaceae
Description: long non-coding RNA (MDOM_LNC003893)
Source: RNAcentral